CUCUAGCCUUGGAUUAGUUAUGGAUUCAUUUAUUUGGUAGAAAGUAGAAACACUUGAAAUUCCAUCACCGACAAUCUAAUGGUUGUAUUUUCUUUCGUUUUUCUUGAAAGACUAAAUACCAUUAUUGUGUUUUGUUUCCACAUGGAUAAAAGAAAGGCAAAGGUAGCCCUGACCAUUAGCAACAAUUAGCACACUUCAGCUUUAUUGAAAGGAGACAUUUAACAUCAAUUGAAAUCAUUUUCCGACCUAUGAUGACGACAAGACAAGACACCUAAAAUAUAGACGGACCCAUACAUAUAUAUCCUAUCGAACCAUACCUUUCAAGGACUUUGAACUUUGACGCCAGAUUUGAACC
RNAcentral lists this long non-coding RNA (355 nucleotides) under Coffea arabica (coffee). RNAcentral describes it as "long non-coding RNA (CARA_LNC001962)". Lineage: Eukaryota; Viridiplantae; Streptophyta; Magnoliopsida; Gentianales; Rubiaceae. The record is from RNAcentral.